UUUAAUGGUUAUAAGUGUCGGUUUGAACAUUAGUGCGUUUCGUGCUCGUUUCCUCUCGAACGGACCAUUUCGGUUCGUUUCACUUGUUUCUUGAAGUCUAUUCCUUGAUUUCAGGUAUCCGUUGGAUAGAGGGUUCGAAUACAAAGCCGAUGGUACUUUCCAGAGCGAAAUCGGAGUCCGAAUGAAGAAAUUAUGACCGAAGGAAGUCGAUCAAUGUUGUUGUUGACCAGUUAACGAUGUGUCACAGCCGUGAUGGGUAACAUGUCACGGCCGUGACGCCUAGUCUGGGCAGCAACAUUAAUUCUGCCCCAGACGCGAUUUUAGAAGGGGGAGGAGAGAAAAAUGACGAACUAAACAAAAAAUUGAUGAAGGGAAAGUGCUUGGGAGCCUCGGAACGUUAUGGAAAUGAAGAUUUGAAGCCGAAUAGUCGAGGAAUCGAAGUCCAACGGAGGAUCAACCUUCUAUUUCAAAGGAUUGGUGGUUCGAAACUUUUUCUACAUCUUCCAUGGAGAAAUAGGUUUUCAUCUUGUUUGGGUUUUGUGAAUUUCUUUGGAUUUGUGGAAUUGUUCUUGUGUGUAGUGAGAAAAUUGUGGAUUCAUGUUGUUUGAUGAUGUG
This 615-nucleotide long non-coding RNA is filed under the name Linum usitatissimum (flax). RNAcentral describes it as "long non-coding RNA (LUSI_LNC003434)". Lineage: Eukaryota; Viridiplantae; Streptophyta; Magnoliopsida; Malpighiales; Linaceae. The record is from RNAcentral.